GAGAAUUGAUCACGAGGAAGAUGAAGCCAAACGGCUGCUAAAACCUUUUAUAUUCUCAGCUGAAUAGCUUUCGUGUGUGUAGAAACAUUGUGAACAUUCGAAAAACAAUGGCAUUUCUUGACGAAUCGCGAAUCUUGAAGAAAUAUUCGAAUAUUUGAAUUGCGGCCAUCUGUUUUGAGUCAAAACUUCUGACUUAAGUCUUACUUUGAAAUAUGUUAUCACAUAUAGGACGAGUUAGAACUUAACUCUCCACUCGACACAAACACAACAAGUACACAUGCGUGCACACACACACAUCCUACGUUAAGUGUAACACCAACUGUGCAAGGAUUGAUUGCAGUAAAAAAAUGUUUUCAAACGACAACGUGGCAAGCGACGGAAGCGGACGCCGAUGCGUUGGGAGGAACCGUAUCGAGAUCGGAAUGGCGCUGGCAGAACCUCCACGCGAAAGAAAAUUCACAGGAAGAGGACGAAAGCAUCACUUUGUUCCCCUUUCUGUUCGAGGCAUCCAUUCGGUGGUGCUGAUCCUUGUGUUACUCUCACUUACUAUGCAAAAUUUGGCCCAGGAUCCUGAUGCAGAAACAAGAACAACUGGAGCCAGUGGUACUGAAAGUAAUAAUAAUGCUGAUAUAGUUUGGCGCGAGGGGUACGCGGGCGACGGUACGACUCACGAGCAGCUCGGACAGGACCACUGGCCUUCCGUCGAGUACAGCCCAUACUUUGGUUCCGGCAAUUAUUCCCUGGAUCUAACCUCUUCACAAAAAGCUCUGAGUCCCGUUAAUACAUUAACGCACUUCGCCUUGCGGUUGUUUUUGUCCGACCUGCCUCCGGGCUAUGUUACGACGACGGCCAACAACAAGUUGGUUCUCGGCCCUAAGGUGUGGAAGAACGAUUGGGCUGCUCUAUUGGCUCAGUACUGGUUUCUGCUUGUUGUCGUGAUAUUCCACCUCUUCUGUAUAAUUAUCAUUCCGUUUAUUGGUGUUUGCUAUUGCUGCUUUUGCUGCUGCUUACGUUGCAAGCAAAAUAAGAGAUCGAACGAGUUCCGGAGGCGUUGUCUUUGCAGCGUUUGCCUUGCCCUUCUCGUUAUUGGCCUUAUGUGAGUUUGGGUCGAGGUCGACCAGCCUCAAUGGCAGCAAAAUAAUGUGCCUCCGAUUUCGAUUGCCCACAUGCUUGGUCUUUUCAUAAUGUUUAUCGCGAAAAAGUUUCUGGAUCGCGGACUAGAAGACAGCAAUAUGACAAUAGCAGAGACACUUGCACCUUUUUAAAAGAUGUGGCUGAUCACAUCUACCAUUUGAUGGUGUACAAUUACCAGGAGCUGGAUGCCCACCUCGAUGACCAACUUAAUAACGCACAUGAUCACAUAUUCCUGGACCUGGGGGAUACCUCCGAGAGUACUGCGCUAGCAGAAAUGGAGCGCAUCUUGAUCAACAUGCCGAAAGCCCUUAAGAUAAUGUUGCAAGUGGAGGCCUUAGAGAAGGAUAUCCGUUUCUUUGGGUCCCAAUUAAGAGACGGCUUACGGGGCCAGAAACGAGAUCUUACCUACGCUGCUUAUGCUUUGUGCCAUUUGCCAAAAUGCUAUAAGUUCAACCAUGACAUGGGUGUAAUUACUUACGAUGUUUCAAAGUGCCUGCACUUAGACCUGAUUCUCAAUACUACACUCUGUCGAAGCGAUGAAACAAAUUAUUGACGACAAACUUUAUCAGAUCCCAAUAAGGGGAAUGGCCCGCUUAAAAAAGGUUAAGGACAUUAUCCUGAAACAGAUGAAACUCGUUCUUCCGCCAAUAUUUCGAAGCCUUACUAGAUCAAGGAUAAUGCUUCUGGAUGAAGCUAUAGAAAUCCGCGACUUGAUUGAUUCUAUGAUCAGCGAUAUUCACCUAAACACACUGAGGACCGCAAGGACAUUUGAUGACGUCUACGAAAAGUUUGGCCAAGAUCGCAGGACUAUUAACAUCGUCAUUUUGUUGUUAAUCUUUAUAAUUAUAGUAAUCUUGAUAUCGGCACUGGUAUGCGGCUUCUUAGGGCCUAACCGGACAAUGCCAGGACCCCCUAGAGUAUUCUCAAAGAGAAUGGCUGCCUCAUGUCUAUUUAUGUGACUAAUCUCUAGUUUUUGGCAUACCGAAAAAUUUGCAGCAACAGCCAUUUGUGUCACUAUUUCAGCGCCAUCAUCAUGAUAUUUUGUGUGUUCUCGUUCAUGACGCUAGUUGGACUGUUCUACUUGAUAAUCGGUUUGAUAAAAAAUGAUCAAAACAACUUCCGAUAUCUCGACCCCGUGAUCGAUAUCAAUCGCUACAUGUCGGGGAGUACGGAAGUAAGGGAAUCGUUUCCCACGCUGCCAGUGUCGGAGGCAAUCAGGGCCUGCAAUGCAAAUGAGUCCGUAUUUCAGCUGCUGAGAGCGAACAAUAUUUACGACAUAGACAAGUUGUUAAAUUUUGAAGUAUUCGUCGACGGCUUUGAAGAUCCCCCUUUGUUCACUGGGGAUUUAUCCAAUGUGAUAUAAACACAAGAUAUCUAAAAGAUUGGCCAGGCUGCCUUGCUUACUACCUGGCUGCCAUAGAUCUAUAUAUUUACCAAGAUCAUAUAUUGGUCCCAUUGACGAAUGCCGUAAAAACAUUAUUGGAAAAAGUAAAGGAAAUUGAUAAUCUCAUUCUAUACGACAACAAUAACUUUGGCGACUCUUUUAAAAUACUGAUGGACGCGGUUGAAAGGUCCGAGAACUUUAUUAGGAAUAAAGGCAACGAGUACAUCAACCAUCUCGCCAAUAACCUUUCGAUUUCGGUCAACCUUCAGAUUUAAGAAUAUAUCGAAAGAGUGAUUAGGGAAUCGGAAAACAACGUAGGACACUGUAAGCCUCUGGCCUACAUUUACCAUCAAGGCGCUUCCUUAAUUUGUGAACGUCUAGUCGAUCCGAUAAACGCAUUUUAGCUGGCCACUCUUUUUUGCUGCAUGCUUCUCCUGCCCGUACUGCUGGUAGCCCAUUGUCUGAUGUGCUUGUACUCUAAAAUCUAUCCGUCUCCGAUUGUCGCUCAAUUAGCAGCAGUAGAAGCAGCAAGAUGUCCAGUUUGCACAGGUCCGCCGGUCAUGCUAGCGCCGGCAAAUAUUUUGUCACAAGAUUACCGCCGCAAGGCUGGGCUCACAGCUCCAGAAGAGUUGGACAGGCCGCUACAAGUUGUUCCAGUCAGAGCGGCAUCUGUAGCGAUCAGCAAACGUAAGAAAGACUAGGUAAACAAAAUGAGAGAUCGGCUUAAAUCAAAUUCUGCGGUGUUUGAAUAUUAAAUGUCUUUUAUCUGUUUUAUAAAGCAUAUUUGUUAAGCAGUGAGACCGACACGGCCUUACUUACCCGGAGGC
Long non-coding RNA from Drosophila miranda, 3345 nucleotides. RefSeq lists it as uncharacterized. The record is from RefSeq and is a predicted model, not a curated record. NCBI's taxonomy places the organism in Eukaryota, Metazoa, Arthropoda, Insecta, Diptera, Drosophilidae. The transcript is spliced from 10 exons.